Molecule: ribosomal RNA, 492 nt
Filed under: uncultured bacterium
Lineage: Bacteria
Description: partial 16S ribosomal RNA
Rfam family: Bacterial small subunit ribosomal RNA
Source: RNAcentral
AGUGAACGCUGGCGGUAGGCCUAACACAUGCAAGUCGAACGGCAGCACAGUAAGAGCUUGCUCUUACGGGUGGCGAGUGGCGGACGGGUGAGGAAUACAUCGGAAUCUACUUUUUCGUGGGGGAUAACGUAGGGAAACUUACGCUAAUACCGCAUACGACCUACGGGUGAAAGCAGGGGAUCUUCGGACCUUGCGCGAUUGAAUGAGCCGAUGUCGGAUUAGCUAGUUGGCGGGGUAAAGGCCCACCAAGCCGACGAUCCGUAGCUGGUCUGAGAGGAUGAUCAGCCACACUGGGACUGAGACACGGUCCAGACUCCUACGGGAGGCAGCAGUAGGGAAUCUUGCACAAUGGGCGAAAGCCUGAUGGAGCAAUGCCGCGUGAGUGAAGAAGGUCUUCGGAUUGUAAAGCUCUUUUGUUAGGGAAGAAAAAGUGAAGGUGAAAAUGUCGCUGUUUUGACGGUACCUAAAGAGAAAGCAACGGCUAACUACGUG